CCUACGGGUGGCAGCAGUGAGGAAUAUUGGUCAAUGGACGUAAGGCUGAACCAGCCAAGUAGCGUGCAGGAAGAAGGAUCUAUGGUUUGUAAACUUCUUUUAUAGGGGAAUAAAGGUAUCCACGUGUGGAUAUUUGCAUGUACCCUAUGAAUAAGCAUCGGCUAAGUCCGUGCCAGCAGCCGCGGUAAUACGGAGGGUGCGAGCGUUAUCCUGAUUUAUUGGGUUUAAAGGGUGCGUAGGUUGUUUUUUAAGUCAGCGGUGAAAUGUUGUGGCUCAACCAUAGAAUUGCCGGUGGAAAUGGAAGACUUGAGUGUGCUAGAGGUAGGCGGAAUGCGUGGUGUAGCGGUGAAAUGCAUAGAUAGCACGCAGAACUCCGAUUGCGAAGGCAGCCUACCAAGCCAUUACUGACACUGAAGCACGAAAGCGUGGGGAUCAAACAGGAUUAGAUACCCCAGUAGUC
RNAcentral lists this ribosomal RNA (460 nucleotides) under uncultured bacterium. RNAcentral describes it as "partial 16S ribosomal RNA". It matches the Rfam family "Bacterial small subunit ribosomal RNA", at positions 338 to 795 of the family's 1533-position model. The record is from RNAcentral.